Aethalodelphis obliquidens (Pacific white-sided dolphin) is the source of this 814-nucleotide long non-coding RNA. RefSeq lists it as uncharacterized. The transcript has 3 exons. The record is from RefSeq and is a predicted model, not a curated record. NCBI's taxonomy places the organism in Eukaryota, Metazoa, Chordata, Mammalia, Artiodactyla, Delphinidae.
AGCUCACACAACUGUGCCAUUCGCCCACUGGGGUUCACCUCUUCCAUUGGGACCAGAUUCCAGCAGAAACUACCACACUGACACAGAGAUGAAUGAAAAACACCCAGGAUAUGCAGAGUUGAAACACAUCCCUUUCAAGAAGCAGAUGCAGAAAAGACAAAAGAGCAGCUAAUUUACGCAGAAGCGAAAAUAUGCGCUACAAAGUCCAAUCGGACAAAGAUAACAAGAACUGAAUCACCUGAAGGAAAAGGUAAACUUUAUGUAGAGGACCUAGCUUACCUGUCCUCCAAUUGCUCAGCUUACCACGGCCUCAAAUAACUAAGUUAGCCUGCCCAGUUUCAUGAGGUUGCUUAAACUAUAUCUUAUAAUCUAAACAAAAAAAAUGGUAUUGAAAGUGAAAUGUCCAUAUUUAGUAUAUUCCAGAUAAUUAAUGUAGUUUGGGUGCUAUAUACAUAAAUUCAUAACUGAGCAAAUCAAGCAGGAAAAUUACUGCUUUUCAAUUUGGAAACAAUUGUGAAUCUCCUGAUGUCUAUAUCCACUCAUUUUAUGAAGUUUCAAGAAACAAUAUUUGAUUAACAUUAUUUGAUACAUGUUUGGAAUUAUAAUUUCUUCUACUGUUGAAGAACUGUAGUGAGGCUCCAAUGAGAAAAUGAUGGAUAUAUAUGCAAGCAUAUGAUAUUUACAGGAUAAUAAAUAUCUUCUGAUUAUGGGUCAAUAAAAUUGACUAUACAGAUAUGUUUUACUUAUUUAUUUAUUUAUUCAUGGCUGUGUUGGGUCUUAGUUUCUGUGCGAGGGCUUUCCCUAGUUGCGGUGA